Long non-coding RNA from Girardinichthys multiradiatus, 217 nucleotides. RefSeq lists it as uncharacterized. The transcript is spliced from 3 exons. The record is from RefSeq and is a predicted model, not a curated record. NCBI's taxonomy places the organism in Eukaryota, Metazoa, Chordata, Actinopteri, Cyprinodontiformes, Goodeidae.
UUCCGCUUCUCUGACUCACAGCUACUUAGGCAGUUACCAUCACUUACAUAAAGAUCAAAAGGACAUACAAAUUUCUACUCUGGCAGGGUAGGCAAUCAGUAUGGUGGGUCUGUCUGCCUUGCAUUGUCUGAAACAACCCACAGAUGGGUGAGGAGAAGAAGAGGCUCCUUUUCUCCUUCCACCUCCACUGGCCCGCCUGCCAAGUGUUCCUACAAAC